AUCCUCCAGAUUCCUUACCCCUCAGAUCGAUUGGUCUGAGUGGCUACACAAGAGGAAAAGUAAAACUGAAGUAAACUUGGAUUCUUUAGUGUUUUAAAAGUUCAUUUCCAACAAAU
RNAcentral lists this small nucleolar RNA (116 nucleotides) under Echinops telfairi (small Madagascar hedgehog). RNAcentral's name for it is "Small nucleolar RNA SNORA61 (ENSETEG00000026036.1)". The record is from RNAcentral. Lineage: Eukaryota; Metazoa; Chordata; Mammalia; Afrosoricida; Tenrecidae.